CGGUUAAGUUAGAAAGGGCGCACGGUGGAUGCCUUGGCACUAGGAGCCGAUGAAGGACGGGACGAACACCGAUAUGCUUCGGGGAGCUGUAAGCAAGCUUUGAUCCGGAGAUUUCCGAAUGGGGAAACCCACCACUCGUAAUGGAGUGGUAUCCAUAUCUGAAUACAUAGGAUAUGAGAAGGCAGACCCGGGGAACUGAAACAUCUAAGUACCCGGAGGAAGAGAAAGCAAAUGCGAUUCCCUGAGUAGCGGCGAGCGAAACGGACCAGCCCAAACCAAGAGGCUUGCCUCUUGGGGUUGUAGGACACUCUGUACGGAGUUACAAAGGAACGAGGUAGAUGAAGAGGUCUGGAAAGGCCCGCCAUAGAAGGUAACAGCCCUGUAGUCAAAACUUCGUUCUCUCCUGAGUGGAUCCUGAGUACGGCGGAACACGUGAAAUUCCGUCGGAAUCCGGGAGGACCAUCUCCCAAGGCUAAAUACUCCCUAGUGACCGAUAGUGAACCAGUACCGUGAGGAAAGGUGAAAAGCACCCCGGAAGGGAGUGAAAGAGAUCCUGAAACCGUGUGCCUACAAGUAGUCAGAGCCCGUUAACGGGUGAUGGCGUGCCUUUUGUAGAAUGAACCGGCGAGUUACGAUCCCGUGCAAGGUUAAGCAGAAGAUGCGGAGCCGCAGCGAAAGCGAGUCUGAAUAGGGCGAAUUGAGUACGUGGUCGUAGACCCGAAACCAGGUGAUCUACCCAUGUCCAGGGUGAAGUUCAGGUAACACUGAAUGGAGGCCCGAACCCACGCACGUUGAAAAGUGCGGGGAUGAGGUGUGGUAGGGGUGAAAUGCCAAUCGAACCUGGAGAUAGCUGGUUCUCUCCGAAAUAGCUUUAGGGCUAGCCUCAAGGUAAGAGUCUCGGAGGUAGAGCACUGAUUGGACUAGGGGCCCCUACCGGGUUACCGAAUUCAGUCAAACUCCGAAUGCCGAUGACUUAUCCUUGGGAGUCAGACUGCGAGUGAUAAGAUCCGUAGUCGAAAGGAAACAGCCCAGACCGCCAGCUAAGGUCCCAAAGUAUACGUUAAGUGGAAAGGAUGUGGAGUUGCUUAGACAACCAGGAUGUUGGCUUAGAAGCAGCCACCAUUUAAAGAGUGCGUAAUAGCUCACUGGUCGAGUGACUCUGCGCCGAAAAUGUACCGGGGCUAAACGUAUCACCGAAGCUGCGGACUGUUCUUCGAACAGUGGUAGGAGAGCGUUCUAAGGGCUGUGAAGCAAGACCGGAAGGACUUGUGGAGCGCUUAGAAGUGAGAAUGCCGGUAUGAGUAGCGAAAGAGGGGUGAGAAUCCCCUCCACCGAAUGCCUAAGGUUUCCUGAGGAAGGCUCGUCCGCUCAGGGUUAGUCGGGACCUAAGCCGAGGCCGAAAGGCGUAGGCGAUGGAUAACAGGUUGAUAUUCCUGUACCACCUCCUCACCAUUUGAGCAAUGGGGGGACGCAGGAGGAUAGGGUAAGCGCGGUAUUGGAUAUCCGCGUCCAAGCAGUUAGGCUGGGAAAUAGGCAAAUCCGUUUCCCGUGAAGGCUGAGCUGUGAUGGCGAGCGAAUUAUAGUAGCGAAGUUCCUGAUUCCACACUGCCAAGAAAAGCCUCUAGCGAGGUGAGAGGUGCCCGUACCGCAAACCGACACAGGUAGGCGAGGAGAGAAUCCUAAGGUGAUCGAGAGAACUCUCGUUAAGGAACUCGGCAAAAUGACCCCGUAACUUCGGGAGAAGGGGUGCUCUGUUAGGGUGCAAGCCCGAGAGAGCCGCAGUGAAUAGGCCCAGGCGACUGUUUAGCAAAAACACAGGUCUCUGCGAAGCCGUAAGGCGAAGUAUAGGGGCUGACGCCUGCCCGGUGCUGGAAGGUUAAGAGGAGCGCUUAGCGUAAGCGAAGGUGCGAAUUGAAGCCCCAGUAAACGGCGGCCGUAACUAUAACGGUCCUAAGGUAGCGAAAUUCCUUGUCGGGUAAGUUCCGACCCGCACGAAAGGCGCAACGAUCUGGGCACUGUCUCAACGAGAGACUCGGUGAAAUUAUAGUACCUGUGAAGAUGCAGGUUACCCGCGACAGGACGGAAAGACCCCGUGGAGCUUUACUGCAGCCUGAUAUUGAAUGUUGGUACAGCUUGUACAGGAUAGGUAGGAGCCUUGGAAACCGGAGCGCCAGCUUCGGUGGAGGCAUCGGUGGGAUACUACCCUGGCUGUAUUGACCUUCUAACCCGCCGCCCUUAUCGGGCGGGGAGACAGUGUCAGGUGGGCAGUUUGACUGGGGCGGUCGCCUCCUAAAAGGUAACGGAGGCGCCCAAAGGUUCCCUCAGAAUGGUUGGAAAUCAUUCGCAGAGUGUAAAGGCACAAGGGAGCUUGACUGCGAGACCUACAAGUCGAGCAGGGACGAAAGUCGGGCUUAGUGAUCCGGUGGUUCCGCAUGGAAGGGCCAUCGCUCAACGGAUAAAAGCUACCCCGGGGAUAACAGGCUUAUCUCCCCCAAGAGUCCACAUCGACGGGGAGGUUUGGCACCUCGAUGUCGGCUCAUCGCAUCCUGGGGCUGUAGUCGGUCCCAAGGGUUGGGCUGUUCGCCCAUUAAAGCGGUACGCGAGCUGGGUUCAGAACGUCGUGAGACAGUUCGGUCCCUAUCCGUCGCGGGCGCAGGAAAUUUGAGAGGAGCUGUCCUUAGUACGAGAGGACCGGGAUGGACGCACCGCUGGUGUACCAGUUGUUCUGCCAAGGGCAUCGCUGGGUAGCUAUGUGCGGACGGGAUAAGUGCUGAAAGCAUCUAAGCAUGAAGCCCCCCUCAAGAUGAGAUUUCCCAUUCCGCAAGGAAGUAAGAUCCCUGAAAGAUGAUCAGGUUGAUAGGUCUGAGGUGGAAGUGUGGCGACACAUGGAGCUGACAGAUACUAAUCGAUCGAGGACUUAACCAAUUU
Molecule: ribosomal RNA, 2928 nt
Filed under: Bacillus velezensis
Lineage: Bacteria; Bacillati; Bacillota; Bacilli; Caryophanales; Bacillaceae
Description: 23S ribosomal RNA
Rfam family: Bacterial large subunit ribosomal RNA
Source: RNAcentral